This 404-nucleotide ribosomal RNA is filed under the name uncultured bacterium. Its description in RNAcentral is "bacterial SSU rRNA". It matches the Rfam family "Bacterial small subunit ribosomal RNA", at positions 355 to 775 of the family's 1533-position model. The record is from RNAcentral.
CAGGGAAUCUUGCGCAAUGGACGGGAGUCCGACGCAGCGACGCCGCGUGGGUGAAGACGGCCUUCGGGUUGUAAAGCCCUUUUCUGGGGGAAGAGAGAGGACGGUACUCCAGGAAUAAGUGUCGGCUAACUACGUGCCAGCAGCCGCGGUAAUACGUAGGACACGAGCGUUAUCCGGAUUUACUGGGCGUAAAGCGCCUGUAGGCGGUUCUUCGAGUCGUUUGUGAAAGCCCUGGGCUCAACCUGGGGAGGCCAAGCGAUACUGGAGGACUUGAGGGUGACAGAGGGGAGUGGAAUUUCCGGUGUAGCGGUAAAAUGCGCAGAUAUCGGGAGGAACACCAGUGGCGAAGGCGGCUCCCUGGGUCACCCCUGGCGCUGAGAGGCGAAAGCUAGGGGAGCAAACAG